GAUGGAAUAUAGCCCAUUUAGGGUACCCGAAGGCCUGCCAUCUGCCGCACAGAUCCGAUCCUUAGGAUCGAAUCAAAACCGACGGCUGAGAACGGUCCAACGUCGAAGCAAACUACCAUAAAGAGAGAGGCGGCCGGCCGGCGGCGCCGCCAGCCGAGCUGGCCGCCGUCCAUGGUGGCGCCGUGUGCUGCUCCGUCGAAGAGCGCAGUUGCGUCGUCCGGCACGACGAGCGGGUAUCAUCCAUGGCAUCAUCCAAGCCUCUCGCCGUCAUCGCGCUCUUCCUCCUCGUUGCUCUCCUCAUGGUUGCCGAUGCGCAGCCGGCACCCAAGAUAGAUUGCCCAUCGGCGUGCCAGGCUCGAUCGCGAAGAACUGGAAGAACAAGAUGUGCAACAAGGAUUGCAACAUCUGCUGUGACAAGUGCAACUGCGUCCCCUCCGGCACCAGCUAGGUGACCCGUAACGAAUGCCCUUGCUAUGACAACCUAAAAAACUCCAAGAACGGCAAGCUCAACUGCCCUUAGACUCGGGGACGGAACCUGUGGCGCGUGCAGGCGGCAAGCUACCCCAUGGCAAACUUUUUCCUGAAAACAACCAUAAUUGUUAGUUCAAAGUGCUCUAAAUUUGUA
Molecule: long non-coding RNA, 625 nt
Organism: Hordeum vulgare subsp. vulgare (domesticated barley)
Lineage: Eukaryota; Viridiplantae; Streptophyta; Magnoliopsida; Poales; Poaceae
Exons: 3
Source: RefSeq, a predicted model, not a curated record